RNAcentral lists this ribosomal RNA (869 nucleotides) under uncultured archaeon. RNAcentral describes it as "bacterial SSU rRNA". It matches the Rfam family "Archaeal small subunit ribosomal RNA", at positions 5 to 879 of the family's 1478-position model. The record is from RNAcentral.
CGGUUGAUCCUGCCGGAGAUCACUGCUAUUGGGAUUCGAUUAAGCCAUGCGAGUCGAGAGGGUUCGGCCCUCGGCUGACGGCUCAGUAACACGUGGAUAACCUGCCCUUAGGUGGAGGAUAAUCUCGGGAAACUGAGGAUAAUACUCCAUAGAUCUAGGAUGCUGGAAUGCAUCUAGAUUUAAAGCUCACGCGCCUAAGGAUGGGUCUGCGGACUAUUAGGUUGUAGUUAGGGUAACGGCCUGACUAGCCUACGACGGAUACGGGUUGUGAGAGCAAUAACCCGGAGACGAUAUCUGAGACACGAUAUCGGGCCCUACGGGGCGCAGCAGGCGCGAAAACUUCACACUGUGCGAAAGCGCGAUGAGGGAAUCCCAAGUGUUUGCUCGUAAGAGUAAACUGUUUCUUUGUUUAAAACGCAGAGAGAGUAAGGGCUGGGUAAGACGGGUGCCAGCCGCCGCGGUAAUACCUGCAGCUCGAGUGGUGAUCAUUAUUAUUGGGCCUAAAACGUCCGUAGCCGGUUUAGUAAAUGCCUGGGUAAAUCGUGUAGCUUAACUAUACGACUUCCGGGUAGACUGCUAAACUUGAGACCGGGAGAGGCUAGAGGUACUCCUGGGGUAGAGGUGAAAUUCUGUAAUCCUAGGGGGACCACCAGUGGCGAAGGCGUCUAGCUAGAACGGGUCUGACGGUGAGGGACGAAGCCCUGGGGCACAAACCGGAUUAGAUACCCGGGUAGUCCAGGGUGUAAACGCUGCUUGCUUGAUGUUAGUUGGGCUCCGAGCCCAACUAGUGUCGGAGAGAAGUUGUUAAGCAAGCUGCCUGGGAAGUACGGUCGCAAGGCUGAAACUUAAAGGAAUUGGCGGGGGAGCAC